CCCUUAGAUGUUCUGGGCUGCACGCGCGCUACACUGAUGCGUUCAACGAGUUUAUCACCUUGCCCGAUAGGGUUGGGUAAUCUUUUGAAAACGCAUCGUGAUGGGGAUAGAUUAUUGUAAUUAUUAAUCUUCAACGAGGAAUUCCUAGUAAGUGCGAAUCAUCAGUUCGCGCUGAUUACGUCCCUGCCCUUUGUACACACCGCCCGUCGCUCCUACCGAUUGAGUGGUCCGGUGAAUAAUUCGGACUGAGCACUUGUGCGGUUCGCCGUGCUUGUGCUCGGGAAGUCUAGUGAACCUUAUCACUUAGAGGAAGGAGAAGUCGUAACA
This 327-nucleotide ribosomal RNA is filed under the name uncultured eukaryote. RNAcentral's name for it is "partial 18S ribosomal RNA". It matches the Rfam family "Eukaryotic small subunit ribosomal RNA", at positions 1470 to 1796 of the family's 1831-position model. The record is from RNAcentral.